Molecule: long non-coding RNA, 39943 nt
Filed under: Triticum aestivum (bread wheat)
Lineage: Eukaryota; Viridiplantae; Streptophyta; Magnoliopsida; Poales; Poaceae
Description: long non-coding RNA (TAES_LNC023756)
Source: RNAcentral
UUUUUCUUGGAAUUUCGGUAUCAAGUUGGUGCCUCAUCAGCUAACAGUAAUCCUGGGGCUGGUGAGCACAAGGACCAUUUUCUGGGAAAUAUAUCCUGAAAAACUGGUCGCUACAAGGUUGUCAGGACCGGUUUUCCAAUAAAACAUUUAUUGAAAAACUGACCAUUAUAUCAGACCAGUAUAGAAGAAUCCUCCUUACUGGUAGACAAAUCCUUGAUACAGAAAUCUAGAAGUACUAAAUAUUAUACAAGGUUGAGCUGAGGCUACUCAACAAUUUAUUACAAGCACGCCGAUAUUAUACAUAAAGGCGGAUAUGACACAAAGGGUGUGGUGGCAUAACUACUGACUCAUAAUAAAAGUGGUGGUGGAUAUGUCACAGUGAAGUGGGUGACAUGACUCCAAAAUCUUAUAGUUCAUCAAGCGCCGGAGUGAGGCUCGGUGAUUUUAUUAGGGUAGCGGAAGCGUAUAUAAUACAAGUGACCAACUCCAGGAUCCCACGGGACUAACUGGGACUCCUCUAGGCGUAGAACUCGCUAUCAUACUCUUCAUCCACAAGAUCGCCUUCGUCAACAUCUGGCCAAAUCAACAAGCUAGGUGAGUACUUUGAAUGUACUCACAAGACAGUUUGGACAUAAGAUAUAACGAAUGCAAACAUGAUGCACAUGAGCAGACUAGUAAUGCGCACUCAGAUAAUAAAUUUGCACUGCAUGUUAAAUAAAAAGGAAGUCGGGCGGUAGUCCUCCCGAAAUCCCAAUAAAAUAGUUGAAGAGCGAUCGGGUGUCUGAAGCGACGCCUCGAAAGGAAAAAUAACUUAACAUGCCGCAGUCGGGCGUCAGGGCGACACCACAUAAAGGGCUUAUAUUGAAACGUAAAUGACUGUACGUGCCACAGUCGGACGUCUAAGCGACAUCUCAAAAAGGGCUUAUAAUGAAAGUAAAUAACAAGGAUGCCGUAGUCGGACGUCUGAGCGACAUCACAUAAAGGGCUUAUAUCAAAAGUAAAUAACAAGAAUGCCACAGUCGGACGUCUAAGCGACAUCACAUAAAGGGCUUAUAUCAAAGUAAAUAACAAGAAUGCCAUAGUUGGACGUCUAAGCGACAUCACAUAAAGGGCUUAUAUCAAAGUAAAUAACAAGAAUGCCAUAGUCGGACGUCUAAGUGACAUCACAUAAAGGGCUUAUAUCAAAGUAAAUAACAAGAAUGCCACAGUCGGACGUCUGAGCGACAUCACAUAAAGGGCUUAUAUCUCAUCAUUCGAAUUCAAGUAGCUCAUGAAGGUAACAUCAUUCCACGGAAUACUCGGUACAUGAUAAUAAACUGGUUAGUCCAUCCACAGGAAUAACAUUCAGACAGGUUUACCACUCUCAGUUUCAUGCUUAUUCUCUGGAGGCUGUCACUGAGACUGACACUGGGACUAAUACUUAGAUUGACACUAAUAUGUUGAUCAAAGUCCUUCACCAUGGACAUGGUUACUCGAAUGGUUUUGACUCUGCAGAGUUUGUACUCUUUAACCACAGCCAACGGUUUUCAGUAGUCACAAAGGACUAGUUCCGUUUACGGUAUUUUAGGAGAAACACAUCUAACCAGUACACACCCAUUCCACAUUCCGCUGCCAGGAAUCACCCUAGGCAACGUUCAAGAAAAACUCUAAGACGGGGAGGCUACAACCUCGAAUAGCAUGGGAUCAAAUUUAUAUCGUGCUCUCUAAGGGGUGCCCCCUCUCGGUCCCAACCGGAAACACCCAUGCCCCCUGAACGGAUGACGGGCUUUAAUCCAGGGCCAUGGAACCCUCAUCACGGCCCCUCUAUUUUGUGUGUACAAGGAAAGAGGUUUGCAACUUACUAAACCGUAUUCUUUGUAGAAAACAUGUGGUAGCACGGAAGAGGACGAACGGGAACAAGACUUGAUCCACGUUAAUACUGGAGUUAAAUAGUUGAUAUAAAACUGGCAUGAUUCAACAAUACCAGCUUGCAACCUAUCAUGCCACCACAUGAUCAGGUUAUCUCACCAUCAAAUGAACACAUCGAAUUUCGAAGCUCACUUGCAACUUGCUUGCAUGAAAUAUAACAUUCAAAAAUGCUUAUAAACAUGUCAUGAGAAAACCACUUAAGAAAUCAUGAAAAACACUCAUCAUAUCAAAGGUUCAAACAUGCUUGCCUGGUUCGGAGUAGUCGGAGUCUAGCUCGGCGAAGUUUGCGGCUCCGUCACCUCCUUCGGUAUCUACGUUAUAAAAGAAAUCGGAUACUAACGUAAAUACCAUGUGUGCAUAAAAAUUGUUCCAAAUAUUUUUUUCAAAUAAAUAUGAUAAAAACUAGAUAGAAAAAUAAAGAUGACGGAAAAAGAAUCAACUCAAAAUCAUCUUCUAUUUAAAAGUUAUUAAGGUUUUACUCUAGGGACUAAUCUGUGAUGAAACAGAAACUUUCCAGGGGCUAGCCUAAAAACUGAAAAAGUUUCGGUUGGAAAUACGCCAACCCAAAGGGAAAACAUACUUUGCCAGAAGGCGCCUUCAGAAAACGUUUCAAAUAAAAGAGCAGAGGCUGACGAGGGGGUUCCGCAUGUCAGGUUUAAAAUCCCACCGCCGGCCGAAGCAAACGAUGAUCACCGGCGAUGAUCGACGGCGAUCCAGAGGAGGGCAAGGGUAUGGUUGCACUCACGGGACAAUUCCGCGUUGGUGGGUGGUGGAUUUGGUCGUCGGCGAGCACCACACCGACGGUGGCUUCCACUCCGGCGGACGGCGGUUCGGUCGAGGAUGGAUCCCUCCGAAGAGAGCUGCAAAUGCCAAAUUGAAGCGCGGGUUAGGGGAGUGGGUGCACUAGGAGGUUCCUCCCCAAGUUUGAGCUAGAGCUAUGCAAGGAAUCGAGUGAAUCAAGCUGGCUACCAGAGUGGGUCGUGGCGGCCGGAGUUGGGGAAGAAGGCCUCCUCUAGGUCCUUCUAGCGGCUGGGCGCGACUCUGGUGAGGUGGAGGAGUGGUGCUGGGUCGAAGGCGAGCUCGGGGCCUCUAUUUAUAGCCAGCCCGAGGCGGUUGCCGAGAACGGGAACACUCCGGCGAGCGAUUACGGCGAGGCAGUGGUCGGGCUGGAGGUUUAGGUGACUGGGCACCUUCGGAUUGGUUCACUGGUUCCAUUCAACAGCUAAGCUUGAUCGGAUUUGGCCUGCUCCCGUGGCCUCGACGGAACGGAGCUAACGGGCUCGUCGGCGGCAGAGAGCGUGCUCUGCGCCUCUCAGGCCACGGCGACGGUUCUGCAGCACGCAUAGGGAAGAGGACGGCCACGCGGAGGCUCCUGGUGGUGUGGGCGGUGCUGGACGGCACCGUAUUGUAGGGCUGGCCCCUGCUGGUCGCCACGGCGGUUCUGCCACCGCGGAAGACGCCGGAGUUAAUGUGACACGUCGCCACCGACGCUCGCGACCGGCCAAACAACCGUGCGGCGCAUUGGAUAAGAAGAAGGAGCAAUGAGCAACGAUCCAAGGCAGCUACUGACGAGAUUGACGAAGAGCCCUGGCGAAAAUGACACUGACGACUGAACCCAACACUGAACUUCUGAAACUUGACAGGAACAGUGUCGGCCACCUAUUUGACGAAAUGAUUUAUGCACGUGGAAAAUUCUUCUAGACCUGAAACUUGGUGAAGUGAUCUCUUGAUGCACCUGGAGACUGCCUGAAUUAUCUCAGAAUUUUUGGAAAAGAAAAAGAAUGAAAUUCACCAAAAAUGGCAAAUCUGGUCCAAACUUGCAGCAAGCAAAAUUUUGAAAAAUUUGUACUGUGGACUAGCAGAUCUUGAUGGAUCUAGGUUGAAGACACUAAGGACUAGCUAGAGGAAUUUAUUUGGAACCAAAACUCAAAGGAAAUCUAGUAGUUCCUUUGUAAAUCACUAAGGUCCAAAUAAAUGGCAGAAAAAGAUUUUGAGUUUAACAUAAAUAGAAUUAAAAUCUAGGGGAAGUUGAACUUUGCUGGACUUGAUGCUUGACUUGACCCAAAGUGGGGAGGUGGGUUUUGGAAGAAAGUUUUCAACAUAGGUCAUGGCUAGAGAGUAAUUUUUGAAUGGGAAAGAAUAAAAUUCAUAAUUUAUAGGAAUUCUUUUUAAUAAAAAGGAAUUGUAAAAACCUUCCAAAAUUAUUUGUGUUGAGCCAACACAAGAUGAAAAAUCUUCAAGACCAAAAAUCAAGAUUGGGAAGAACUCAUGAAAUAUUUGUCAUAAAAAGAUUUUAGAAGAUGCGCCCCUUUUUUGAAAAAUUCAAGUGACCUUCUUUAAAUCAAAUAAAUAAGUUGAUAAAAAUCAAAACCAAAAUUUUGGGGUGUUACAACACCUACCCCCUUAGGAAAAAUCUCGUCCUCGAGAUUUCAAUUGAUCCUCAAAUAGGUGUGGGUACUCUACCCGAAGGAGAUCCUCUCUUUCCCAUGUUGCUUCAUCCUCGGUGAUUACUCCACUGGACCUUGAAAAACUUAAUUGUUUUCUGACGGGUCCUUCUUUCAGACUCCUCCAAUAUUUUUAUUGGACGUUCCGUGUAGGUGAGGUCUGGUUGCAUGUCAAUGUUCUCGUGAGAUACAUGCUUUUCUGGGUUGCUUACACAUUUCCUCAACUGUGAGACGUGGAACACGUCGUGGACGUCUGACCGUUCUUCGCGUAGGUCUAGCUGGUAGGCCACUGUGCCUCUUCGUGCAAUCACACAGAAGGGUCCAAUAAACUGUGGUGCUAGCUUUCCUUUAACUUUGAAUUGUUGCAGGCCCCUCAUAGGAGAUACUCAUAGGUACACAUAUUCACCGGGUUCAAAGCUGACUUCACGAUGUUUUUGAUCGUAAUAACUCUUUUGUUGGCUCUGGGCUGUCUUGAGUCGAUCCCUGAUUAGUCUAACUUUCUCCUCAGCUUCCUUGAGCAUGUCUGGGCCGAAGAUAUGACUGUCUCCUGUUUCUGGCCAAUUUAAUGGGGUACGACAUCUUCGCCCGUACAAGGCUUCAAAAGGUGCCAUUUGUAGACUGGCUUGGUAACUGUUGUUGUAUGCGAACUCGGCAUACGGCAAGCUUUCUUCCCAACUGGUUCCAUAGGUGAGAACACAUGCUCUUACCAUGUCCUCUAAAAUUUGGUUCACACGUUCAGUUUGUCCUCCAGUCUGGGGGUGGUAUGUUGUACUGAAUACUAGUUGAGUUCCCAGAUCUUGUUGUAAAUGAUCCCAAAAUCUAGAGACGAAUUGAGUGUCUCUGUCGGAUAUUACAGUCUUUGGAAUUCCAUGCAGACAGACUAUACGGGAGAGAUAAAGUUUGGCAAGCUUCUGAGUGGUGUCGUUGUCUUUACUGGGAUGAAAUGUGCCACCUUAGUUAAUCUAUCUGUGAUGACCCAUAUGGCAUCAUUUCCGUGUCGUGACCAAGGUAGUCCGACAAUAAAAUCCAUUCCAAUUUCGUCCCACUUCCACUCAGGUAUCCUAUUUUGCUAUAAUAGUCCUGCCGGUUUUUGGUGCUCGGCUUUAAUGCGUUGACAUGAAUCACAACAUGCAAUGAAUGUGGCUAUAUCUCUCUUCAUACCGUGCCACCAAAAAAUUUCCUGAAUGUCCUUGUACAUUUGGGUUCCUCCAGGGUGGAUUGAAUAUGGAGCAGUGUGGCCUUCGGCUAGAAUUUGCUGUUUGAGGUCCUCUAUAUUUGGUACACAAAGUCUGUCUCCAUACCAUAAUAUUCCCUUAUCGUCUACGACGAAUUCUGAAGCCUUGCCCAGACUCACUUUACUUUUUAUGCCUUCGAUGCUGGGGUGUCCAUGCUGAGCCUUCUUAAUCUGUUCCAUUAGGGUGGGCUAUAUUUCCAAAUUUGACACAUUGCCUUCAGUGACCAUCACCAAGUUGAGUUUGGCGAACUCCUGCUGAAAUUCAGGUCUCAAGUUCUGUAGACUGUCGUUGCCCGAGCUGGGGUUUCGACUAAGAGCAUCUGCCACUACAUUCGCCUUUCCUGGAUGGUAGUGAAUGCCAACAUCAUAAUCUUUCACUAAUUCCAACCAGCGCCGUUGUCGUUAAUUGAGUUCUGGUUGUGUGAAAAUAUAUUUGAGGCUUUUAUGGUCCGUAUAUAUUUCACAACGAUUUCCAAGCAAAAAGUGCCUCCACUCUUUGAGUGCAUGAAUGACUGCUGCCAAUUCCAAGUCAUGAGUAGGAUAAUUUUCUUCAUGCUUUCAUAGUUUCCUGGAAACGUAUGCGACUACUUUGCCUUCUUGCAUUAGUACGCAUCUGAGGCCCUUCCGGGAUGCGUCACAAUAUACUUCAAAACUUUUGUGUAUGUCUGUUACAACCAAUACUGGUGCUGUUGUUAAUUUCCUUUUGAGUUCUUGGAAACUUUUCUCGCAAGCUUCAGUCCAUACAAUUUUCUUAUCCUUCUUGAGUAACGGUGUCAUUAGUUUUGCUAUGGUAGAGAACCCCUCAAUAAACCUUCAGUAAUAUCCAGCCAUCCCCAGGAUACUUCGUACAUCUGUUACAUUGGCUGGUGGUUUCCAGCCAAGUACAACCUUGACGUUUUCUGGGUCCACGGCAACACCUUCUUGGGUUAAUACGUGGCCUAGAAAACCAACAUGUCUUAACCAAAAUUUACAUUUGCUGACUUUGGCGUAUAAUUGAUGUUUCUUUAAUUCUCCCAGUACAAUUCUGAGAUGUUCAGCAUGUUCUUCUAGUGUCUUAGAGUAUACCAGAAUAUCAUUAAUGAACACCACAACAAAUUUGUCCAUAAAUUUCAUAAACACUUUGUUCAUGAGGUGGACAAAAUAUGCGGGGGCGUUUGUCAGUCCAAACGGCAUUACUGUAAAUUCAUAUAAUCCAUAUCUGAAGGUGAAUGUUGUCUUAGGGAUAUCUUCUGUCCGUACUUUUAAUUGAUGAUACCCCUACCUUAAAUCAAUUUUUGAGAAAACCUUGGCUAGUGCGAGCUGGUCAAAUAAAUCAUUUAUCCAUGGCAUCGGAUAUUUGUUUUUGAUGGUGACCAUGUUGAGUGCUCGAUAGUCUAUACAUAAUCUCAGUGUCCCAUCCUUUUUCUUGGCAAAUAAUACUGGUGAACCCCAAGGUGAGGAGAUGGCCCGUAUAAAUCCUUUGUCCAGUAAUUCUUUUAUUUGCUUCUUUAAUUCUACCAACUCGGAGGGUGCCAUUCUAUAGGGUUUCUUGUAAAUGGGGGUGGUUCCAGGUGCUAGUUCAAUGAUGAACUCUAUUUCCCGGUCUGGUGGCAUGCCUGGUAGUUCUUCGGGAAAUACGUCAGGGAACUCACACACCACUUGAACUUUUCUUAACUCUGAAAUGUCCACCUUGUUCAACCUUGGUUGCCGUGAUAUUGGUCUUUCUUGAGCUGCAAUUUUUAUCGUCUUCCCCUGAUGAUGAGUAAGAAUUACAGUCCGAUUGAAGCAGUCGAUAAAUCCCUUGUUGGUGGUUAACCAGUCCAUUCCUAGGAUAACAUCUAGUCCCUUAUUUUCCAAUACAAUGAGGUUUGCCUGAAACUUUAGUCCCUAAAUCUCAAUAACCACACCUUGGCAGUAAUUCUGAGUGAUUUGCUUAAUCCCGGGGGACUUGAUGGUCAUGGAUUUUUCCAAGGGAAGCAUCGAAAAAUCAUGUUGCAAAGAAAAUUUCUUUGAAAUGAACGAGUGAGAAGCUCCAGAAUCAAACAAAACCGUGGCAGGUAUUGUGUUGACAGGGAACGUACCGAGUACGAUAUCCGGGGCAUUCUGUGCUUCCUCCUUGGUCACAUGGUUCAAGUGACCCUUCUUGUGAUUGUUAUUGGGGUUGAAGUUGUUACGCUUGGGUGUUGAAUUAUUUCCACGGUUGUUCGGCUUGGGGGCCGAGUUUCUUGGCUUUGGGCACUGUUUGGCAUAGUGUCCUUCCUCUCCACAAGCGUAGCAAGUAACACCUGUGUGAUAUGUAAAAUCCUUGUCUCUUGCAUGAAAUUUUUUGCUUGGGCGUGGAACAAUGGUUGUGGAUUUGUUCGCUCCAAUUUUCUGAAAAUCAAUCUUGUUCCGGUUGUUGCAAGCAUGAGUAGUCUUGUCCCUUUUGCGCUUGCGAAAAUCCUCCAAGCCGCGGCGCUCAUUUUCCACUGUAAUAGCUUUGUCCACAAGUGUUUUGAAAUCCGGAAAGGUGUGUACGACCAGCUGGCAUUUAAGUGUUGGUGCCAGACCGUCCAGAAAUUUUUCCAUCUUUUUAUUUUCAGUCAUAUGCUCUUCGUUGGCAUAACGAGAUAAUUGAGUAAACUGACUGUUGUACUCAAUCACUGUCAUGCUUCUCUGCUUGAGGUCAUCAAACUCCUUUUUCUUGAUCCUCAUGAUGCUUCUGGGAAUGUGCACCCCACGAAAACCUUCUUUAAAUUCUUCCCAGGUGAUGUUAUUUUCAUUGGGGUGCAUGUGUAGGAAAUUUUCCCACCAUGAUGCAGCUGCUCCAGUGAGGUAGUGAGGUGCAUAAAGUACCUUCUCACGGUCCGAACAUUGUGCAAUAAUUAACUUCCUUUCAAUGUCUCGAAGCCAAUCAUCGGCCUCAAGAGGUCUAUCAAUGUGAGAGAACGUUGGGGGACGUGUCUUUUGUAGUUCAGACAAUUUGGAAUGCUACUGAUAUGGUUCUCGGUGAUUUCCCAUAUUGAUAACAUGGUUCAUCAUUUCUUGAUGCUGCUGCUGGCUUUGCUCAUAAAGGCGGCAUACUUGAGAAAAUGCUGCUUCACUGCCUUGCUGACUUGACUGCCCCUGUGUGAAAUUGUUACUUGUCUGGGUACCAUAAUUUUCUUUCGGCGGACUUGGCAUGGAACGAGUCCAGGGACGAGGCAUUUUCCACUCUGGGGUAUUUUUGCAGAAUUCAUGAGAAAAAUUGAGUGGCAAAAAUAAAUAAUUUUACAAAGGCGGAAUUUUUUCUUUUUAAAAAACUCCAAGAUUUUUAAGAAAAUACUUGAUUGCGCAAGGAGAAGGACUGCUCAGUACAUAUCUUACAUGCAAGUCGUAAUUAUACAAUACAUCACUCAGGAUGUGCGUACACAUUCCUGACAUGUUAUUUAGGCUAGUGCACUUCUCCGAGUUCCUAUAUGAUGCGCACACAAACUACUUCUCACCAAACCUAUAUACAUAUAAACAUAUCAUACAAGCUGGUACAUCGCACGGCUGCUAGGCGCACUCAGUCGGAGAUGGUAAAAACUUCCCUCGGCCUGCCGAGGGCAAGACCCAAUGAUGCUGGAGACUCAACCUCCUCCUCACUAAUAGGCUCCAGGCGCGAAGUACUGGGUUGAGGAGCUGGUGCGGACGCGACAGGUGGUGCAGCACUGACUGGAGUAGGAGCAAUGACUUGGUCAAACUCUUUAGUGGUAGGCAGGCGGCGAGCGGUGGCUAAGAUGGCAGGUGUAUAGGAUGCCGAGGACGAGACGUAAGUCAGUGGUGGUGCUGUAUGGAGGAGCUCCCUCCUGUUGGCGGAACAGCCCUGAACUAAGUCCAUACGAGCAGCCACAAAGUCGUCCACGAGGUUAUCAAAAGCUGCCUCAAGAGCUUUGAGAUACUCAACCAACAUUUCAAUAGCCUCAUCUCUCUCCCCCCUAGCUCAAGCGAACGCAUAGUGACAAGUGUAUGGCAUACAGUCAUCUGCAUGGCAUGCCUCUUGUCACUAUGGCAUACAGUCAUCUGUAUGGCAUACAGUCACUUGCCACGUGCCAUACACUUGUCACUAUGCGUUCGCUUGCGCUAGGGGGAGAGAGAUGAGGCUAUUGAAAUGUUGGUUGAGUAUCUCAAAGCUCUUGAGGCAGCUUUUGAUAACCUCGUGGACGACUUUUUGGCUGCUCGUAUGGACUUAGUUCAGGGCUGUUCCGCCAACAGGAGGUAGCUCCUCCAUACAGCACCACCACUGACUUACGUCUCGUCCUUAGAAUCCUAUACACCUGCCAUCUUAGCCACCACUCGCCGCCUACCUACCACUGAAGAGUUUGACCAAGUCAUUGCUCCUACUCCAGUCAGUGCUGCACUAACUGUCGCGCCCGCACCAGCUCCUCAACCCAGUACUUUGUGCCUGGAGCCUAUUAGUGAGGAGGAGGUUGAGUCUCCAGCAUCACUGGGUCUUACCCUCGGUAGGACGAGGGAAGUUUUUACCAUCUCCGACUGAGUGCGCCUAGCAGCCGUGCGAUGUACCAGCUUGUAUGAUAUGUUUAUAUGUAUAUAGGUUUGGUGAGAAGUAGUUUGUGUGCGCAUCAUGUAGGAACUCGGAGAAGUGCACUAGCCUAAAUAACAUGUCAGGAAUGUGUACACACAUCCUGAGUGAUGUAUUGUAUAAUUACGGCUUGCGCGUAAGAUAUGUACUGAGCGGUCCUUCUCCUUGCACAAUCAAGUAUUUUCUUGAAAAAUCUUGGAGUUUUUUUAAAAGAAAAAAAAUUCCGCCUUUGUAAAAUUAUUUAUUUUUUCCACUCAGUUUUUCUCAUGAAUUCUGCAAAAAUACCGCAGAGUGGAAAAUGCCUCGUCCCUGCACUCGUUCCAUGCCAAGUCCGCCGGAAGAAAAUUAUGGUACCCAGACAAGUAACAGUUUCACACAGGGGCAGUCAAGUCAGCAAGGCAGUGAAGCAGCAUUUUCUCAAGUAUGCCGCCUUUAUGAGCAAAGCCAGCAGCAGCAUCAAGAAAUGAUGAACCAUGUUAUCAAUAUGGGAAAUCACCGUGAACCAUAUCAGCAGCAUUCCAAAUUGUCUGAACUACAAAAGACACGUCCCCCAACAUUCUCUCACACUGAUAGACCUCUUGAGGCUGAUGAUUGGCUUCGACACAUUGAAAGGAAGUUAAUUAUUGCACAAUGUUCGGAUCGUGAGAAGGUACUUUAUGCACCUCACUACCUCACUGGAGCAGCUGCAUCAUGGUGGGAAAAUUUCCUACACAUGCACCCCAAUGAAAAUAACAUCACUUGGGAAGAAUUUAAAGAAGGUUUUCGUGGGGCGCACAUUCCCAGAAGCAUUAUGAGGAUCAAGAAAAGGGAGUUUGAUGACCUCAAUCAGAGAAGCAUGACAGUGACUGAGUACAAUAGUCAGUUUACUCAAUUAUCUCGUUAUGCCAACGAAGAGCAUAUGACUGAAAAUAAAAAGAUGGAAAAAUUUCUGGACGGUCUGGCACCAACACUUAAAUGCCAGCUGGUCGUACACACCUUUCCGGAUUUCAAAACACUUGUGGACAAAGCUAUUACAUUGGAAAAUGAGCGCCGCGGCUUGGAGGAUUUUCGCAACCGCAAAAGGGACAAGACUACUCAUGCUUGCAACAACCGGAACAAGACUGAUUUUCAGAAAAUUGGAGCGAACAAAUCCACAACCAUUGUUCCACGCCCAAGCAAAAAAUUUCAUGCAAGAGACAAGGAUUUUACAUAUCACCCAGGUGUUACUUGCUACGCUUGUGGAGAGGAAGGACACUAUGCCAAAUAGUGCCCAAAGCCAAGAAACUCGGCCCCCAAGCCGAACAACCAUGGAAAUAAUUCAACACCCAAGCGUAACAACUUCAACCCUAAUAACAAUCACAAGAAGGGUCACUUGAACCAUGUGACCAAGGAGGAAGCACAUAAUGCCCCGGAUAUCGUACUCGAUACGUUCCCAGUCAACACAAUACCUGCCACAGUUUUGUUUGAUUCUGGAGCUUCUCACUCGUUCAUUUCAAAGAAAUUUUCUUUGCAACAUGAUUUUUCGAUGCUUCCCUUGGAAAAAUCCAUGACCAUCAAGUCCCCCGGGAUUAAGCAAAUCACUCAGAGUUACUGCCAAGGUGUGGUUAUUAAGAUUAAGGGACUAAAGUUUCAGGCAAACCUCAUUGUAUUGGAAAAUAAGGGACGGGAUGUUGUCCUAGGAAUGGACUGGUUAACCACCAACAAGGGAUUUAUCGACUGCUUCAAUCGGACUGUAAAUCUGACUCGUCAUCACGGGAAGACGAUAAAAAUUGCAGCUCAAGAAAGACCAAUAUCACGGCAACCAAGGUUGAACAAGGUGGACAUUUCAGAGUUAAGAAAAGUUCCAGUGGUGUGUGAGUUCCCUAACGUAUUUCUUGAAGAACUACCAGGCAUGCCACCAGACCGAAAAAUAGAGUUCAUCAUUGAACUAGCACCUGGAACCACCCCCAUUUACAGGAAACCCUAUAGAAUGGCACCCUCCGAGUUGGUAGAAUUAAAGAAGCAAAUAAAAGAAUUACUGGACAAAGGAUUUAUACGGGCCAGCUCCUCACCUUGGGGUUCACCAGUAUUAUUUGCCAAGAAAAAGGAUGGGACACUGAGAUUAUGUAUAGACUAUCGAGCACUCAACAUGGUCACCAUCAAAAACAAAUAUCCGAUGCCACGAAUAAAUGAUUUAUUUGACCAGCUCGCACAAGUCAAGGUUUUCUCAAAAAUUGAUUUAAGGUCGGGGUAUCAUCAAUUAAAAGUACGGACAGAAGAUAUCCCUAAGACAGCAUUCACCUCUAGAUACGGAUUAUAUGAAUUUAUAGUAAUGCCGUUUGGACUGACAAACGCCCCCGCAUAUUUUGUCCACCUCAUGAAAAAAGUGUUUAUGAAAUUUAUGGACAAAUUUGUUGUGGUGUUCAUUGAUGAUAUUCGGUAUACUCUAAGACACUAGAAGAACAUGCUGAACAUCUCAGAAUUGUACUGGGAGACUUAAAGAAACAUUAAUUAUACGCCAAAUUCAGCAAAUGUGAAUUUUGGUUAAGACAAGUUGGUUUUCUAGGCCACGUAUUGACCCAAGAAGGUGUUGCCAUGGACCCAGAAAAAGUCAAGGCCGUACUUGGCUGGAAACCACCAGCCAACGUAACAGAUGUACGAAGUUUCCUGGGGAUGGCUGGAUAUUACUGAAGGUUUAUUGAGGGGUUCUCCACCAUAGCAAAACCAAUGACACAAUUACUCAAGAAGGAUAAGAAAUUUGUAUGGACUGAAGCUUGCGAGAAAAGUUUCCAAGAACUCAAAAGGAAAUUAACAACAUCACUAGUAUUGGUUGUACCAGACAUACACAUAAGUUUUGAAGUAUAUCGUGACGCAUCCCGGAAGGGCCUCGGAUGUGUACUAAUGUAAGAAGGCAAAGUAGUCGCAUACGCUUCCAGGCAACUACGAAAGCAUGAAGAAAAUUAUACUACUCAUGACUUGGAAUUGGCAACAGUCAUUCAUGCACUCAAAGAGUGGAGGCACUUUUUGCUUGGAAAUCAUUGUGAAAUAUAUACGGACCAUAAAAGCCUCAAAUAUAUUUUCACACAACCAGAACUCAAUUUACGACAACAACACUGGUUGGAAUUAGUGAAAGAUUAUGAUGUUGGCAUUCACUACCAUCCAGGAAAGGCGAAUGUAGUGGCAGAUGCUCUUAGUCGAAACCCCAGCUCGGGCAACGACAAUCUACAGAACUUGAGACCUGAAUUUUAGCAGGAGUUCGCCAAACUCAACUUGGUGAUGGUCACUGAAGGCAAUGUGUCAAAUUUGGAAAUACAGCCCACCCUAAUGGAACAGAUUAAGAAGGCUCAGCAUGGACACCCCAGCAUCGAAGGCAUAAAAAGAAAAGUGAAUCUGGGCAAGGCUUCAGAAUUCGUCGUAGAUGAUAAGGGAAUAUUAUGGUACAGAGACAAACUUUGCGUACCAAAUAUAGAGGACCUCAAACAGCAAAUUCUAGCCAAAGGCCACACCGCUCCAUAUUCAAUCCACCCUGGAGGAACCAAAAUGUACAAGGACAUUCAGGAAAAAAUUUGGUGGCACGGUAUGAAGAGGGAUAUAGCCACAUUCAUUGCAUGUUGUGAUUCAUGUCAGCGCAUUAAAGCCGAGCAUGAAAAACUAGCAGGACUAUUACAGCCAAACAUGAUACUUGAGUGGAAGUGGGACGAAAUUGGAAUGGAUUUUAUUGUCGGACUACCUUGGUCAGGACACGGAAAUGAUGCCAUAUGGGUCAUCACAGAUAGAUUAACUAAGGUGGCACAUUUCAUCCCAGUAAAGACAACCCACACCACUCAGAAGCUUGCCAAACUUUAUCUCUCCCGUAUAGUCUGUCUGCAUGGAAUUCCAAAGACUAUAAUAUCCGACAGAGACACUCAAUUCGUCUCUAGAUUUUGGGAUCAUUUACAACAAGAUCUGGGAACUCAACUAGUAUUCAGUACAGCAUACCACCCCCAGACUGGAGGACAAACUUAACGUGUGAACCAAAUUUUAGAGGACAUGCUAAGAGCAUGUGUUCUCACCUAUGGAACCAGUUGGGAAGAAAGCUUGUCGUAUGCCGAGUUCGCAUACAACAACAGUUACCAAGCUAGUCUACAAAUGGCACCUUUUGAAGCCUUGUACGGGCGAAGAUGUCGUACCCCAUUAAAUUGGCCAGAAACAGGAGACAGACGUAUCUUCGGCCCAGACAUGCUCAAGGAAGCUGAGGAGAAAGUUAGACUAAUCAGGGAUCGACUCAAGACAGCCCAGAGCCGACAAAAGAGUUAUUACGAUCAAAAACAUCGUGAAGUCAGCUUUGAACCCGGUGAAUAUGUGUACCUACGAGUAUCUCCUAUGAGGGGUCUACAAUGAUUCAAAGUUAAAGGAAAGCCAGCACCACGGUUUAUUGGACCCUUCUGUGUGAUUGCACGAAGAGGCACAGUGGCCUACAAGCUAGACCUACCCGAAGAACUAUCAGACAUCCACGACGUGUUCCAUGUCUCACAGUUGAGGAAAUGUGUAAGCAACCCAGAAAAGCAUGUAUCUCACGAGAACAUUAACAUGCAACCAGACCUCACCUACACGGAACGUACAAUAAAAAUAUUGGAGGAGUCUGAAAGAAGGACCCAUCAGAAAACAAUUAAGUUUUUCAAGGUCUAGUGGAGUAAUCACACCGAGGAUGAAGCAACAUGGGAAAGAGAAGAUUUCCUUCGGGCAGAGUACCCACACCUAUUUGAGGAUCAGCUGAAAUCUCGGGGGUGAGAUUUUUACUAAGGGGGUAGGUGUUGUAACACCCCAAAAUUUUGGUUUUGAUUUUUAUCAACUUCUUUAUUUGAUUUAAAGAAGGUCACUUGAAUUUUUCAAAAAAAAGGGGCUCAUCUUCUCAAAUCUUUUUAUGACAAAUAUUUCAUGAGUUCUUCCCAAUCUUUAUUUUUGGUCUUGAAGAUUUUUCAUCUUGUGUUGGCUCAACACAAAUAAUUUUGGAAGGUUUUUACAAUUCCUUUUUAUUAAAAAGAAUUCCUAUAAAUUAUGACUUUUAUUCUUCCCCAUUCAAAAAUUACUCUCUUGCCGUGACCUAUGUUGAAAAAUUUCUUCCAAAACCCACCUCCCCACUUUGGGUCAAGUCAAGCAUCAAGUCCAGCAAAGUUCAACUUCCCCUAGAUUUUAAUUCUAUUUAUUUUAAACUCAAAAUCUUUUUCUGCCAUUUAUUUGGACCUUAGUGAUUUACAAAGGAACUACUAGAUUUCCUUUGAGUUUUGGUUCCAAAUAAAUUCCUCUGGCUAGUCCUUAGUGUCCUCAACCUAGAUCCAUCAAGAUCUGCUAGUCCAUAGUACGAAUUUUUCAAAAUUUGCUUGCUGCAAGUUUGGACCGAAUUUGCCAUUUUUGGUGAAUUUCAUUCUUUUUAUUUUCCAAAAAUUCUGGGAUAAUUCAGGCAGUCUCCAGAUGCAUCAAGAGAUCACUUCACCAAGUUUCAGCUCUAGAAAAAUUUUCCACGUGCAUAAGUCAUUUCGUCGAACAGGUGGCCGGCACUGUCCAUGUCAAGUUUCAGAAGUUCAGUGUUGGGUUCAGUCGCAGUGUCGUUUUCGUCAGGGCUCUUCAUCAAUCUCGCCAGUAGCUGCCUUGGAUCGUUGGUCGCUGCUCCUUCUUAUCCAAUGCGCCGCACGGUUGUUUGGCCGGUUGCAAGCGUCGGUGGCGACGUGUCACGUCAACUCCGCCGUCUUCCGCGGUGGCAGAACCGCCGUGGCGACCAGCAGGGGCCAGCCCUGUAGUACGGCGCCGUCCAACACCGCCCACACCACCAGGAGCCUCCGCGUGGCCGUCCUCUUCCCUGUGCGUGCUGCACAACCGUUGCCGUGGCCUGAGAGGCGCGGAGCAUGCUCUCUGCCGCCGACGAGCCUGUGAGCUCUGUUCCGUCAAGGCCACGGGAGCAGGCCAAAUCCAAUCAAGCUUAGCUGUUGAAUGGAACCAGUGAACCAAUCUGAAGGUGCCCAGUCACCUAAACCUCCAGCCCGACCACUGCCUCGCCGUAAUCGCUCGUCGGAGUGAUCCCGUUCUCGGCAACCGCCUUGGGCCCACUAUAAAUAGAGGCCCCGAGCUCGCCUUCGACCCAGCACCACUCCUCCACCUCACCAGAGUCACGCCUAGCCACUAGAAGGACCUCAAGGAGGCCUUCUUCCCCAACUCCGGCCGCCAUGACCCGCUCUGGUAGCCAGCUUGAUUCACUCGAUUCCUUGCAUAGCUCUAGCUCAAACAUGGGGAGGAACCUCCUAGUGCACCCACUCCCCUAACUCGCGCUUCAAUUUGGCGUUUGCAGCUCUCUUCGGAGGGAUCCAUCCUCCACCGAACCGCCAUCCGCCGGAGUGGAAGCCGCCGUCGGCGUGGUGCUCGCCGACGACCAAAUCCACCACCCACCGACGCGGAAUCGUCCCGUGAGUGCAACCAUACCCUUGCCCUCCUCUGGAUCGCCGUCGAUCAUCGUCGGCGAUCAUCGUUUGCUUCGGCCGGUGGUGGGAUUUUAAACCUGACAUGUGGGACCCCCUCGUCAGCCUCUCCUCUUUUAUUCGAAACGUUUUCUCAAAGCGCCUUCGGGCAAAGUACGUUUUCCCUUUGGGUUGGCGUAUUUCCAACCGAAAUGUUUUCUGUUUUUUUAAGCUAGCCCCUGGAAAGUUUUUAUUUCAUCACAGAUUAGUCCCUGGACUAAAACCUUAAUAACUUUUAAACAGAAGAUGAUUUUGAGUUGAUUCUUUUUCUGUCAUCUUUAUUUUUCUAUCUAGUUUUUUAUAAUAUUUAUUUGAAAAAUAUUUGGAACAAUUUUUAUGCACGCACGGUAUUUACGUUAGUAUCUGAUUUCUUUUAUAACGUAGAUACCGAAGGAGGUGAUGGAGCCGCAAACUUCGCCGAGCUAGACUCCGACUACUCCGAACCAGGCAAGCAUGUUUGAACCUUUGAUAUGAUGAGUGUUUUUCAUGAUUGCUUAAGUGGUUUUCUCAUGACAUGUUUAUAAGCAUUUGUGAAUGUUAUAUUUCAUGCAAGCAAGCUGCAAGUGAGCUUCGAAAUUCGAUGUGUUCAUAUGAUGGUGAGAUAACCUGAUCAUGUGGUGGCAUGAUAGGUUGCAAGAUGGUAUUGUUGAAUCAUGCCAGUUUUAUAUCAACUGUUUAACUCCAGUAUUAAUGUGGAUCAAGUCUUGUUCCCGUUCGUUCCCUUCCGUGCUACCACAUGUUUUCUGCAAAGAAUACGGUUUAGUAAGUUGCAAACCUCUUUCCUUGUACACACAAAAUAGAGGGGCCAUGAUGGGGGCUCCAUGGCCCUUGAUUAAAGCCCGUCAUCCGGUCAGGGGGCAUGGGUGUUUCCGGUUGGGACCAAGAGGGGGGCACCCCUUAGAGCGCGCGAUAUAAAUUUGAUCCCAUGCUAUUCGAGGUUGUAGCCUCCCCGUCUUAGAGUUUUUCUUGAACGUUGCCUAGGGUGAUUCCUGGCAGCGGAAUGUGGAAUGGGUGUGUACUGGUUAGAUGUGUUUCUCCGAAAAUACCAUAAAAGGAACUAGUCCUUUGUGACUACUGAAAACCGUUGGCUGUGGUUAAAGAGUACAAACUCUGCCGAGUCAAAACCAUUCCAGUAACCAUGUCCAUGGUCAAGGACUUUGAUCAACAUAUUAGUGUCAAUCUCAGUAUCAGUCUCAGUGUCAGUCUCAGUGACAGUCUCCGGAGAAUAAGCAUGAAACUGAGAGUGGUAAACCCGACCGAAUAUUAUUCCUGUGGAUGGACUAACCAGUUUAUUAUCAUGUACCGAGUAUCCCGUGGAAUGAUGUUACCUUCAUGAGCUACUUGAAUUCAAAUGAUGAGAUAUAAGCCCUUUAUGUUAUGUCGCUCAGACGUCCGAUUGUGGCAUUCUUGUUAUUUACUUUGAUAUAAGCCCUUUAUGUGAUGUCGCUUAAAUGUCCGACUGUGGCAUUCUUGUUAUUUACUUUGAUAUAAGCCCUUUAUGUGAUGUCGCUUAGACGUCCGACUGUGGCAUUCUUGUUAUUUACUUUGAUGUAAGCCCUUUAUGUGAUGUCGCUUAGACGUCCGACUGUGGCAUUCUUGUUAUUUACUUUUGAUAUAAGCCUUUUAUGUGAUGUCGCUCAGACGUCUGACUGCGGCAUCCUUGUUAUUUACUUUCAUUAUAAGCCCUUUUCGAGAUGUCGCUUAGAUGUCCGACUGUGGCACGUACUGUCAUUUAUGUUUCAAUAUAAGCUCUUUAUGUGGUGUCGCCCUGACGCCCGACUGCGGCAUGUUAAGUUAUUUUACCUUUGGAGGCGUCGCUUCAGACACCUGAUCGGUCUUCAACUAUUUUAUUGGAUUUCGGGAGGACUACCGCCUAACUUCCUUUUUAUUUAACAUGCAGUGCAAAUUUAUUAUCUGAGUGCGCAUUACUAGUCUACUCAUGUGCAUCAUGUUUGCAUUCGUUAUAUCUUAUGUCCAAACUGUCUUGUGAGUACAUUCAAAGUACUCAUCUGUCUUGUUGAUUUGGCCAGAUGUUGACGAAGGCGAUCUUACGGAUGAAGAGUACGAUAGCGAGUCCGACGCCUAGAGGAGUCCCAGUCAGUCCCAUGCGAUCCUAGAGUUGGUCACUUGUAUUAUAUACGCUUCCGCUACCCUAAUAAAAUCAUCAAGCCUCACUCUGGCGCUUGAUGAGCUAUAAGAUUUUGGAGUCAUGUCACCCACUUCACUGUGAUAUAUCCACCACCACUUUUAUUACGAGUCAGUAGUUAUGCCACCACACCCUUUGUGUCAUAUCCGCCUUUAUGUAUAAUAUCGGCGUGCUUGUGAUAAAUUGUUGAGCAGCCUCAGCUCAACCUUGUAUAAUAGUAAGUACUUCUGGAUUUCUGUAUCAAGGAUUUGUCUACCAGUAAGGAGAAUUCUUCUAUACUGGUCUGAUAUAAUGUUCAGUUUUUUCAAUAAACAUUUUAUUGGAAAACCGGUCCUAACACACGCCUAGCUUUGUUGUAGCUAAUAGGAAGGCUAAUUUGAUCUUCGGUUGUUUUCUUCAAAGCCCUAAUACUAAUGUUGAGACUUUGUUCCACAGUCCUUUGCAUCCUCUGUGACACAUAUUAUGUGGUCACAUUGCAGUGAUCUGAAAGAGUCCUAGUUUGCUCAUAGCUAUGGGCCACUAUUUUUAUUAUAUGCCAUGGAUGACAUACCCCAGGCUUCAGGCGAGCGACAACUCUUCCAAGGCAACCCUCAGCGGAAUGGAUGCAGAUGACCUUCAACUCUUUUUUAUCAGACUGCUCCACUCUAUGCUGGUGUGGAGGGCGAUUGCAUAGUUAUUUAUUGUCUGGUAAGCAGAUUUGUUGUCUGGGAAAAUCUGCCCAACCUGUAGACUUCCCGCUUCUAGUCCAGAAACAAAGUGAAAUUCAUUGAUGAUGCUCAUAACCGGUAAAAACUCAGGUUCCAAUGGUGCCGCGACCGCCCUCUGAGGAGGAACAACUUCUUCUUUCUUCCUGAGUCCAAAGAGGCAGAAGAAUGACCGGCAUUGUCAUCAUCUAGCGCCUCCGGCAACCCUUCCACAUGUUCGCUCAAGUAAACGGUUGCAGACCAAUAUCUUGUGCCAUACACUUGGUUGCCGCCUGUCGGUUCUGAUGGGUCGGCGCUAGGGGCUGUUGUGAUGGCCAACUCGGCCUCACCACCGCUGCUACUACAUCCGGCAUCAUCAUUGAUAGAAAUGAACUCCACAUACACCAUCGGUUCUCCAAACAUAGAGCAACUAGGAUUGCUUGCAAACCUCAUGUACGACCCCCACAAGUUUUCUCCUAUGACCUGCCGCAGACCCCAACGGGCAACUGUACCAUCAUUACAUCCGACAACGACAAAGGCCUCAAUGGUCAUUUUCUUUCCAUGCAUCUCAAGGCCAAACACCGCUUAGAUGUAUCUUCUGACUGCCGCAUAAUCUACUUUGACCAUGUCUCUCACUACCACUGUCGUCGAUCCGAACAUGGACACAUCGACCCCGGAAGGACCUUCACGUACAACAUCCCCAUAUAGAACACUAACAAAUUUUCCAUUAUGUAUAACUGAAUCCUUUCCAAGUCCUCUAACACCCCCACAGAUUUAGGUCGUCGGAUCACGCGUCUCGGCUGUCCCUGACCGUCCAGGGCAAGUUUUUGUCAUGUGUGGGCUGAUGCUGGUACGGAUGUCCUGGGCCACUAUUCCCGCGGCCGAAUCGGAAGAAUCUCGUUCACUGGCAUGCGCUAACGUCGGAUGUCGAUUGCCGAACAAACGACGGCAGUGGCCACCUCUUGGGGAAAAACUAGGCUAGGCGCCGACUUCACCGAUCUGACCCUCCGGCCCCGAUCUCAAUCUCUUCCUGCUUGUCAAGUAGGUCGUCAUCCACAUGUGCGUUGCCAUCCAAGUUCCAAGAUGGCUGCUGCCCUGCUGCACUUGCUCCACGUUGGUCAUCCCUUGCCUACAGGUACAGCUCAAGAUGGCCGCCGCCCUGCUGCACUUGCUCCAUGUUGGCAGUCCCUUGCCUACAGGUACAACUCAAGAUGGCCGCAACCCGGCUGCACGUGCUCCACGUUGGUAGUCCCUUACCUACAGGUACAGUUCUCCUUUCCCCUUACGCAAUAUGCCUAGGCUACAGGGGAAUGCCAUCGACCAAUACACGAGAAUCCCAAAAGAAAUGGCUGCAGACGCUCUCAUGCAGCUUGCUAGGUCUUAGAAUAUCUCCUUUGCGUGAGAGCUUUGACAUGAUACAAGGCCCUUGACAAUUAUCACUGAUACACUCGAUUGAAUCAUGUGAGUUCCAUUGUAUCUAUUUGAUCAUUUUUUGUCAACUUGUUCAAGAUAUUCCAAAUAAAACUCAAAUUUCUCUUGUUUCUUUUAUGUACCAUUUGAUCAUUUUUUUAAGUGUAAAAUGUAUGUUGGUGAUACUUUUUUAGUUGGUUCUUUCUCUUUUACAGAAUUGAGCAGAAAGAAAAUGAUAUAACUUUUCGUUUGCUUUAACAAUGAAAGGUUUGAACUUGGAAAAUACUUCAAUUCUGUCACAGGAGUCUUGUGCAUUUAAUCCUGAGGGGAAACCACAUGCAGAGAAAUUCAAGAAGUAGUUGUAUAGGACUAGCCACAGUGGGAAUAACUUCAACAGUAACAUCGAGUCCAACUCAGCAAAUUGCUUAUGUGGCAAUGAGUUAAUGAGGAGAGAGGUAGUUUGAGUAACUUAGCUAAUUACUGUAACAUCACAUGUCCCAAUGCAAUAUGAGUCUAUAACCUAAUAAAUGAAGCUUUGCAUGACACCAUACUUAUGUUACUACCCACUAUGAAGGUAGUAACAUAGUCUAGGGAUAUGUGUAUGUUACUAGUGUAUGUUACUCUCCAUUGUGGCUAGUCUAACCAGGUUUACUAACAUCUAUGUGUUUCUCUUAUUUAUAUUGUGCAUUCAUUUAUAUUUUUAAUUUAUCUCUUCAUCUCUUGAAAUUAGUAUAGUAACCAAUCCACUUUCUGAUUUUCUGUGCAGCAACUAUACUAGAAGCUGGCAUGCACAACGAGGAUGGUUACGUGCCUCUUUAAGUCAUCCAGUGUUACAUUAAUUCUUUUCUUGGCACUAAUUUGUUAAAAAAUAUAGAAUUCCCUCUUUAGAAAAUGAUGUUAGUGAACAUCUCAAUUUAAUUUUUUUUACAUUCCAAAAUAGUCAAGUUUUUUACAUAACAUUUUUUUGGCUCACAUAAUUCUUGAAUGCCUUCCAUGGGAUGACAGGAAUCUUGCUCAUCUAGCAAAAUAAAAGAUAACGAAGAAAUUUGGAAGGUGGGAAAACUUGGAAUUUCUCGGAGGUAUUGUCAUGGCGGUGCCCACGUAGUUUGGGAAAUUUUGCUUUCAGCUUGGAUGAAGCUUUGUCAUAAAGGAUGGCAUAUACAAUCUUAAAGGCAAGAGAGUUUAGUUGCUUAACUAAUAAGGUUUAUACUACCUCCUUUUCGGUUUAUAUGGCUCAAUUUGUAAAUCUCUCCAACCCAGGUAGAUGGUGAGUGGUGAAAUAAAUUUCGUAGUUUGAAAAAAAUACUUGAUUACUACACUUGUUUUUUCUCAAAAAGUUGUAUUUACCGAUGCAUUAAUUACAAUGCAUGCAUGUGUGACCAUUAAACGACCAAAAACUUCAACAUGCGUUGGUUAGUUUUUUGUUGAUCCUUGCAUGCAGUGAUUUAAUGCAUUUUGAAAUCUAAACAUGUGAUGAUGAGUAGUAGAAUUGAUAUAAAAUGGAAAAGGAUUUUUUGUAGAUGAGCCAUAUAAACCAUAAAGGAGGGAGUACAUCUUGCGGUGGAUUCAACCUACAAACCUCAUAAAGUGCGCCCCCAGUGUCUGACUAAUCAAACCCUGAAAUUUUUCGCUAAUGGUAUUUAAAGAAUUGUGUGGUUACAUGUUUCCUACAAUUUUUUGGUUACCAUGCAUUUCCUUCCCAUUUAAUAAAUGCAUCGCACAAUAUAAAUGCUCAAAUUUUAACUUUCGAGAUAGGGUAAAGUCAAUAAUAAUGGAACAUAGUAUGUUAAAUGUUGGUUGCUCUGGCUUAUAUGAUGACAGAUUGCCCCGCUAGCGCAGCCUGAGCCCACUAAACAUUACUUUUGUUGUACUAAGAAAAUAUUUAGCCUGGGAGAAAAUAAGUAAAGAAUAAUAUUUUCCAGGUUAUGAGCUUAUCCUUUCUGAAGCUUGGCCAGCUUCGAUUAUCAUGAACAUCUACGACAAUAAUAAAUUGAAUAUUUCUCCUUUUCGGCUAUAUUUGUAGUGGACUUAUCGUUCGUAUGGGUAAAUGUAGUUUACUAAUUCUGUGAGAAGUACCAAGAGGACACAUUGUUAAAAUUGGAACUAUUUGUAGCUCUUGACUUUCCUGAUUAAGUCGUUAUCCCAUGGAAUAACUCUCUUUGUUCUGCCUGUUUAGGAUAGACUCUGACUUAACCAACUUCGGCACUCUGAAUUCUGCUACAGUGCUCUUCUCUAGCUGUUGAGCUCCCUCAUUUUGUGGGAUUUAGUUAAUCUACAUGCAUCCCUCUUAUAUUCCACAAAGUAGAAAGUUGGCAAACUAUUUGACCAUGUGUAGGAUUAGAGGCAAUUAUGAGUACAACACUUACUUAUUUCGUUACAGCCCAAGCUAAGAUAUCUUAAUUUUAUAAAAGAUCAAAGAUACAUAAUCAGUAAAUCUACAUGCUUUCUAAUAUCAUAUUGCUACAUGUUAAUGAUUUGUGCUAUACUACUGUAGGAUGUGGUCGUAUUUGAUCGGAUUUUUUGUCGAAAAACACCCUCUGGCCAACACAAUUGACAAAAGGACUACCUACAUAUCAAAUUGACAAAAAAGACCCCCUCAACGGUGGCGGCAGGCGCGGCGGCCGACACGUGGCUCCUGCCGCCAUGCUAGGAGGCUGCGGGCCCUACCACCACGCGCUGAGGCGGGCGGCCGGCUAUUACGUAAUUUCCAGUGCGCUGGGAGCCGGGACGGAACGGGGCCGGGCAUGUGGGCCCUGCCGCCACUCGUCGAGGCAGUCGGCACUGUUGCUACUGCAUGCAUGCCGACAACACCUACUGCACACGCAGCGAGGAGGUGGGCCACACCACCACUCCCCGAGGCAGUCGCGUUGUUGUUGCUGCUCGCGGCGCGACAACUUCGCUGUGGUAGAUGGCGAUGAUUCCACAUGCGGACGACGCUGAUUUCCACGGACAGGAAUCCGAUGUUGUGCGGUAGGUGAAUUUUUGACGUCUUGUGCCGACACUCUACGGUGCUCCUCUGCACUCUCUUUGCUUCCCUGCGUACACUCUCCACUCCACUCUGUGUGGUUCGCAUGUCGUUCGGCGGGAAUCAUUUCUGGCAGUGAUUCCGCUGCGGUGCUGCCCGUUGUUUGAUAAUUCCCACUGCUUUCUAUGCAGUCGACACCGAUCAAAAGCAGCGCAUGAUUCCUACCUAAAGUUUUGCUCAUCGGUUGUUGCAGCCGAUGCGACAGCACCAAGGCAUGCUAUGCCGACACUGGUUGCACAGUUUUGAAUCACGCGUAUUUCACACCUAAAAUUUCAUCUAUUCACGCCUAUUUUCUCGCCAUCAUUUCGUGAGGCCAAGGCAACAGAAGAAGCUGGCGAUGGAAAAGAAAAAUAUCCGCGUUGGACUCAGUAGAUACCUGUGCUACUAUUUUAAAUUUCGCAACCAUUUGUAUCUUAAUUUCGGUAGUUUAAUGUAGCUUUAUUUCAGUAGUUAAAUGUAGUUUUAUUUCAAUAGUACAAUGUAUCUUAUUUUCAGUUGUGCCGUGUCCAAAUGUCUUACUUACCUUAUUUCCUUCUUUCUUUCUCUCCCCACCUGAAAACACUUUAAUAAUACAAACUAAUUAUCAAACAUUGUGCAACAACUACAACAUCAAAUUAAGAUCAAACAUAAUGACCAUACAAUAAGGCAGUACAAACUAAUAAUGCAAGUAUAUCUGAAUUAAAUAGUAGAACUGAACUUAAAAACUAAAAAUACAGCUUAAAAACUACAUGAAGGCAUCAUCGUCAUCCUCUGUCGAUGCAGAACUCUUGCUCUUCGACGAUGCAGAACUCUUGCCCUUCGACGAUGCAGAACUCUUGGCCUUGGUACUCGGCGUGAAGAUAUCGUCUUCAUCCUCGCUAUCCAUAGUCCAUAAAAAAGUAUUUUCUGCUGCAAACUUUAGGUAUGAUUCACCCUUACUCUGUUGCUUCAUCCAUUUUCCAUGCAACCUGAGAAGUUCUUUCUGUAUCUCCUCAAAGGUCCUGGAAGGCCACUCGCACCUACUUAAUGUGUGAGCCAGUUCAUUCAGUAAGGUGUCAGUAUUGAUGAAUUUGUCCCGUGGAACUAAUAUGUUGUCUACCCUGAAAUCGGCAGCUAAAUCCAGAAGACACUGAGACAUACGAGGGUGAAAACUACGAUCAAAAGGAUAUCCGGACAUCUUGGCAAGACUACGAGAUUACACUAGAAUGUUUACCCAACUUAGUGUCGAGGGUGUUUUAUAGGUUGAGAACACAAACAGAGGCGGCAACUCGGAGGCGGGAAAAUAUGGCAGGAACUAGAUAGCGGGAAAAUAUGGUGGGAACUAAGAAAGCGGGAAAAUAUGGCGGGAGAUAUAGGCGGGAAACUAUGGCACGAGAUAUAGGCGGGAAACUAUGGCAGGAGAUAUAGGCGGGAAACGACGGCGCAAGAUAAAUGCGAGAACUUAGAAGCGAGAAACUAUGGCGGGAGGUAUACGUGAUAAACAUUGUUGUCGCCUGGUCCAGUAGCGGCAGGUCCUCAUACAUAGAUGUUUAUUACAUACAUCGGUAAGUCUGAAACUGAUAUAGGUAGAUACAAUAGGUCGCACACGUAGAUAAAUGAAUCACCCUAGUCGACGACGGCCACCUAGCCUUUCCCGAGGACCGGAAAGCGUCAAGCGAUUAGGUGGUCGAGUUACACGAAGACCGCGGCCGUACUCCCCUUCGGCUUCAUGUGUCUACGACUCCUGCGCAGGUGAUGGAGAAUGGAAUCCUUGUUGCGAUCCUGAUGCGUAAUUGUAGACGUAUGGUUGUGACUCCUCAGGGAUAAAAGAUGGGCCAAUAAUGUCCCCUCCGAAGAAAUCUGUAACUAAUGCUAUAACCAUGUCGCCAUGAUCAUGUGAUGCUCCCCGUAUGCGCGUGUUUAGGCCAUGUUGGGUGUCCUCAUCGUCACAUGUACGAUCGGGUAUGUCCUGCACAGAGAAACAUUGUAAAUAAACCGUUAGAUGAUAAUAUAUGAUAUCAUUAUAAAUGCAUUAAAAACAUAAACAUGACUACCUGGUCAGAUCCCUCGCCUGUAGUUUGUGGCCAUUGUUUGUCAUAGUGGUUUAUCUCUGGCACACGAGUCUCCUCGGGCAUGGAUAUCCCUCGCGUGGAGAGAUAUGGAUAAGAUCCCUCACCUUGGGUGUAUGCGCCAUAUCGUAUGUACGCAUAUGGGUUCGGGGAAAGAGUUUGCUCGAGCAUCAAAUCCAAGCCCGUGCCAUGGUCCUGGGAUGUCUGCCCAUGACGAAGCUGCACCGAAUAAGAGCGAUGCAGUGGCAGAGAUGAGCCAUGUCAUGGCAAUGUCGUUGUAGUACUCGGACCAUCCCCCACCGCCCAUGGCUCGUAUGCGCCUCGCUUGGUCUGGACGACAGCGCCGCACUCGAUCUGGAUGACCUCGCUACUGGCAUGUUGUACGCUCCAGUGACAAUGUCGUCGCCUCUACGUGGCCACAAAGUUGAGUUGCGGUAGAGGCAACGACGUUGUCACUUGAGCAUACAACAUGCCAAUAGCAAGGUCAGCCAGACCGAGUGCGGCGCCGCCGUCCAGACCGAGCGAGGCGCGUACGAGCCAUGGGCGCGAGGGGAAGGGUCUAAGUACUACAACGACAUUGCCACGACAUGACUCAUCUCUGCUAUUGCAUCGCUCUUCUUCGGUGCAGCUUCGUCAUGGGCAGACAUCUCAGGACCAUGGCACGGGUUUGGAUUCGAUGCCCGAGCAGACUCUUUCCCCGAACCCAUGUGCGUAAGCAGGAUAUGGCGAAUACACCCAAGGUGAGGGAUCUCAGCCGUAUCUCUCCACGCGAGGGAUCUCCAUGCCGGAGGGGACUCGUGUCCUAGAGAUAAACCACUAUGACGAACAAUGGACACACACUACGGGCGAGGGAACUGAUCAGGUAGUCAUGUUUACAUUUUUAAUGCAUUUACAAUGAUAUCAUAUAUUAUCCUCAAACAAUUUAUUUACAAUGUUUCUCUAUGUAGGACAUACAUGAUCGUACAUGGGACGAUGAGGACACCCAACGUGGCCUCAACACACGCAUCCGGGGAGCAUCACAUGAUCAUGGCGACACGGUUGUAGCAUUAGUUACAGACUUCUUCGGAGGGGAUGUUAUUGGCCCAUCUUUUAUCCAUGAGGAGUCACAACCAUACGCCUACAAUUACGCAUUAGGAUCGCAACAAGGAUUCCAGACUCCAGCACCUACGCAGGAGUCGCAGACAUAGGAAGCCAAUGGGGAGUAUGGUUGCGGUCUUCAUGUAACUCGACCACCUAAUCGCUUGACGCUUUCUGGUCCUCGGGAAAGGCCAGGUGGCCAUCAUCGACUAGGGUGAUUCAUCUAUCUACGUGUGCAACCUAUUGUAUCUACCUAUGUCAGUUUUAGACUUUCCGAUGUAUGUAAGAAACAUCUAUGUAUGAGGACCUACCGCUACUGGACCAGGCGACAACAAUGUUUCCCGCGUAUAUCUCCUGCCAUAGUUUCUCGCUUCUGAGUUCCCGCGUUUAUCUCACGCCGCCGUUUCCCGCCUAUAUCUCCCACCAUAGUUUCCCGCCUAUAUCUCCCGCCAUAUUUUCCCGCUUUCUUAGUUCCCGCCAUAGUUUCCCGCUAUCUAGUUCCUGCCAUAUUUUCCCACCUCCGAGUUCCCGCCUCUGUUUGUAUUCUCAACCUAUAAAACACCCUCGGCACUAACUUGGAUAAGCAUUCUAGUGUAGUCUCGUAGUCUUGCCAAAAUGUCCAGAUAUUCUUUUGAUCGUAGUUUUCACCCUCAUAUGUCUCAAUGUCUUCUGGAUUUAGUCGCCGAUUUCAAGGUAGACAACAUAUUUGUUCCAUGGGACAAACUCAUCAAUACUGACACCCUACUGAAUGAGCUGGCUCACGCAUUAAGUAGGUGCGGGUAGCCUUCCAGGAAUUUUGAGGAGAUACAGAAAGAAUUUCUCAGAUUGCAUGGAAGAUGGAUGAAGCAACAGAGUAAGGGUGAAUCAUACCUAAAGUUUGCAGCAGAAAAUAUUUUUUGAUGGAACGCAGACAGUGAUGAUGAAGACAUAUCUUCACGCCGAGUACCAAGGCCAAGAGUUCUGCAUCGUCGAAGGGCAAGAGUUCUGCAUCGACAGAGGAUGACGAUGAUGUCUUCAUGUAGUUUUUAAGCUGUAUUUUUAGUUUUUAAGUUCAGCUCUACCAUUUAAUUCAGAUGUAAUUGCAUUAUUAGUUUGUACUGUCUUAUUGUACGGGCAUUAUGUUUGAUCUUAAUUUGAUGUUGUAGUCGUUGCACCAUGUUUGAUAAUUAGUUUGUAUUGUUAAAGUGUUUUCGAGUGGGGAGAGAAAGAAAGAAGGAAAGAAGGUAAAUAAGACAUUUGGACACGGUACAACUGAAAAUAAGAUACAUUGUACUAUUGAAAUAAUGCUACAUGUAGGACCGUGUAGAGAAAAAUCAUGCGACAGCCCGUUCCCCUCCCGAAACCCGCCAAAGGCGACUCCAUUGGCGAUUUCCUACCCUCCUAUGGAAAUCGUCGAUGGCUUGUCCCUGUAACCCAGAAACCUACGAAAACCAACCUCGAGACCCCUCUAUGCAACCUUCCCCAACCAGAGCACACCCUUUCACCCACCCUCCAGAGUCGUUUUAGGAAAUCUCUGCGGGAGAUCCAGAAACUAAAGCUCCGCCUCCUGUUCCUGAGGUUUCGAGUGAAGAUCGUGAGUGGCAAACUAUUGCCUUCCCCUGAGGAAGGAGACAAGGAGCCACCUAAUCCAGGUCGUGAUCCACCUUCAGAGGCCCUUCCGUUUUCUGAAUUAAAAGUCCAUGAUGAACUGGAGCGUAUAUGGGUUACGUUUCAGUUUGAGGAGAAACUUUCGUUUCCAUCUUCUGGGAGUUAUUUGGAGAAUAAUGAGGGCAUUUACAAGCCCAUGGAAGAUCUGCUAUUUAGGAGGCUGCUGGUGCUGCGCUUUCCAUCAUUCUCCUUGGGAAGCCACACCAGCCUUUGCUCCACGCACUACAGGUGUUCGACCGAUUGCCUGAUGGCGACAUCUAAAGCCCAUCUGAAGAUGACUUCCCUGGUGUCUCCAAGGAUGGUGUCCAAGUCCAUGAGGGAUGCGUCAGGGUCCCUGUUGGCCGCUGGGAGCUCAGCCGCUCAAGACAACGGCGAAGCCAUUCGCCGGCCGGGUAAGGAGCUUGCCCUCUCUACUGCGGAUCCAGUGAAGAAAACCCUGAUCAUUAACAUAUCGGGGGCUCGCGAAGCGGUUCAGACGCGUUUUUCUGGCUGUUGGUCUCUUCUUGUCUGUGCUGAUGGUGAACCCCCGUCAGUUGAUUGACCAUAUGAAAGGGGUCUGGAAGAUCCGUGGGGCAUUGGGCGAUCAUCAGAUAUCGGCAAAGGAAGGAUGUAAAUUCGUCCUAGAAUUCUCAGAAGAUGGUGAUCGACAACAUGUCAUUAGGGGUGGCCCAUGGCAGUACAAGGGAGACCCGUUCUUGGUUGUAGGCUUGGAAUCUGGGGCUGACCCUGCUUCGGUUGUGUUCUCUCAUGUUCCUAUUUGGGUUCAGUUCCGGGGUAUUCCUUUUUACCUCCUUACAAAGGAACUUGCCCGAAAUCUAGGAGAACAGGUUGGGAAGAUGCUGCUGGUUAAUCAGCACGCGAGGGGCAACAUCUGCGACAAAUUUCUGCGUGCGAGAGUGUUGCUCACCUUGUACUCUGCUCUGCCAAAGGAGAUCACCCUGGCCGACGAGAUAACUGGAGAAGAGGUGAUUGUUUUCCUGCGCUAUGAAAGACUUCCAAACUUCUGUUUAUUCUGCGGCUUCUUAGGGCAUAUGGAAGCCAGUUGUGAUCUUCCUAAUGAUGAGAAAAAACUGAGGUAUUCCAAGGACAUCAGUGUGCGUCCAGUGCACUUUGAUGACCCCCGUUCCUGGUUCCUUGCCGAUAAGAUGGGGAAACCAAAGCCCUCGCAGGCUGCUACCUCUCCUUGGCGUGCCCCAAAGCCAAACUGCAACUCUCAAAUCAACACUCCAAGUGUGGAUGUGGUGUUGAAUACGGUUGAGAAAGUGAGUGAAGAUGUUGCUCACCUUUCAGUGGGUGAGCUAAUGGAAACCGAUGCCCCCCGGAAGGGUUCAGACAACAACAUUGAUGUGGGGGAUGGAUCUCCCAGUGAUCCAGUUGGCGCCUCGGCUGUUGUGGGUCUGCUGAACAACAUGGUGGAUGCUUCUCGCACCGCUGAUGCUGCCUUGGUUUCUGCACCUAACCCCGGCAACACAAAGAAGGAGGGAGACAAGGUGCAAAUGCAGACCAAUGUGUUGGUCCAAAUGCAUGGAAAUGAGCAAAAGACAAGAAGACGCCUGAGCCUGAAGAAAUAACUUUACCGGUGGGGCUGGUCCCGGAGCUCCCUCCAAAGACUAGUGCUGGUGGAGGCUCCGUUGACGAUGCCCAACGUGUUGUUGAGGAUCUUGUUAAUCUGCAGGGGGUCGUUAAAGAGAUGGACCAUCCAAACACGGUCAAGAACAUAGUAUAUCUGAGAAAGAGAGGCCAUAAGGGGGACAUGCAUUCUGGUAAAGGAGGAGGCGCCGCUUCUGUUCUCGGCAAGCGGCUGGACAGAGUCAAGGAUCCUCUAUCUGUAGAACCUGAGAGCAAUAGCGAUGAUGUAAUCACAAGUAACAAAAAGCCUAGAGAUGUGGGUUCUGUAGAGGUAGAGCAUUAUAAGGUUGAGAAGGGUGGUCGGGAAGCUGCCGGCCUAGGGGCUGCCAGUAAACUGACGGGCGCGAGUAAUAGCGCCCGUCAAGAGCCAUGAAAAUCUUGGCCUGGAACUGCCGGGGACUGGGGCGGCCCCGGACAGUUCAGGAGCUGACACGCCUUGUGUGUGUUCACUGCCCGGAGAUUGUGUUCCUCUCUGAAACUAGGCAAGGCAAGUAUUUUGUGGAGGGGGUGGGGCGUAGAAUUGGCUUCAGGCACAGUAUCAUUGUCUCUGUGAAAGGGAAGGGGGAGGCCUAGCCCUCUUCUGGGAUGAUUCCGUAGAUGUCGAGUUAAUAAACUUCGGAAUCCAUCAUGUCGAUGUAAAAGUUUCUGUUUCUGGUGAAAUAAAAUGGAGAGGAACCUUUGUUUAUGGUGAGCCCAGGUCCCAGGACCGGCAUUGUAUGUGGGAUCUGUUAAGACGCAUCAAAUCAAACGCUAGUGAACCUUGGCUCAUGAUCGGCGAUUUUAACGAGGCCAUGUGGCAAAGCGAACAUAUCUCUAGAAAAAGGAGUGAACCCCUAAUGAAAGCUUUCAGGGAAGUUUUAUCUGAAUGUAAUCUGCAUGACCUUGGGUUUAAAGGAGUGGGCUGGACGUAUAAUAACAAUCAAUUAGGGGAUAAAAAUGUUCGAGUGCGGUUGGAUAGAGCUGUUGCUUCGCCUGAAUGGCAGGACAUUUUCUCUGAUGCGUGCGUCAAACAUCUUGUGUCGCCGAGAUCUGACCACUGUCCUCUUUUACUCUGCCUAGAGAAGUUGCAAUUUAAGACAAGGAAAAGGAAAAAAGGUCGCUACGAAGUGAUGUGGGAAAGAGAGGAGGCCUUGGCUGGGAUAAUUGAGAAUGCCUGGAACCAUCAUGCCCCUGUCCGAGACCUCAAGCACCUAACUGAGAAGGUGGACUGUAUCAUGGAAGUUCUUAAAGCCUGGAGCAACCAAUCUAUUGGUUCUAUUACAAAAGAAAUAGCCAAAUGUAGAGGGAAACUAGCGGAUCUGUUGAAGGACUAUAACACACAUGAGCAGGAAAUAAAGAUCUUAUCAGCAAAAAUGGAUGAAUUGUUAUUGCGGGAAGAGCUUCUUUACCUUCAAAGGAGUAGAGUUACGUGGCUUCGUGAGGGCGACCAAAACACCAAAUAUUUUUAGCGAAGGGCCUCUUGACGUGCCAGAAAGAACAGGAUCAAAAAACUUUGGAAGGCUAAUGGGCAGUUCACAAACAAUGAAGAAGAAAUCAAAGCGAUUGCAAAGGGGUUUUUCUGUGAUCUGUUUACAGAAGACUCAAAUGUGAAGCCUGCGGGCUUGCUGAAUCAUUUUGAGACCUUGGUUACAAAUGAGAUGAAUGAAAAAUUAAUGGAAGAGUUUACUGUGAAAGAGAUCAGCGACGCCCUAUUUCAGAUUGGGCCGCUAAAAUCCCCGGGGCCGGACGGUUUCCCCUCGCGUUUUUACCAGCAAAACUGGGAUGUUCUAAAAGAAGAGGUGGUCGGAGCUAUAAAGCAAUUCUUUACGGAUGGUGUCAUGCCGAGUGAGUUGAAUACUACUACUAUUGUUCUCAUCCCCAAGACUAACCAAGCGGUGGAGUUAAAAGAUUUUCGGCCAAUCUCUUUAUGCAAUGUUAUUUACAAAGUGGUGUCGAAGUGCUUAGUGAACCGCUUGAGACCGCUCCUGGACGACCUUAUUGGCAUUGAGCAAAGCGCUUUCAUCCCAGGAAGGCUCAUUAGUGACAACACUCUUAUCGCGUUUGAAUGCUUCCAUGCCAUCCAAAAGGGGAGGAACUCAAGUGACUCGUUCUGCGCUUUCAAGAUGGACCUCUCAAAAGCUUAUGACCGUGUGGACUGGAAGUAAUUAAAGGGUGUGCUCACUAAGUUGGGGUUCAACCCUAGAUGGGUGAGUUGGGUCAUGGCGUGUGUUACUUCUGUCCGAUAUGCCAUAAGUGUGAAUGGGGAGCUUUCUGAGGAGUUCUUCCCUUCUAGAGGUUUACGCCAGGGCAAUCCUCUUUCUCCCUACAUGUUCCUCUUUGUCGUUGAUGGUCUGUCCAGAUUACUAAAGAAUGUGGUAAACAAGGGCGAACUAAGAGAGCUAAAGAUUGCUCGUUCUGCCCCUGGGAUAUCUCACUUACUUUUUGCUGAUGAUAUUACCCUGUUUUUUGAAGCUAAUGGUCAGCAAGCUUCAGUGGUAAAUAAGGCGAUUCAGGUGUUUGUUAGGAGCACUGGCCAACUGGUUAGCCAUGAGAAAUGUUCCCUCCUGUUCAAUUCUGAGUGCCCAGCUUCUAGGAUGGAAGAAGUGAAGGAGGUUCUAAGUGUCCAAAAUUGUACUUUCGAGGAGAAAUACCUGGGGCUACCCACACCGGAAGGGCGUAUGAAGGCUGAGAAGUUUCAGCCUAUCAACGACAGGUUCAACAAAAGGCUAUCUGACUGGAAUGAAAGAUAUAUGGCCAUGGCUGCAAAAGAGGUUCUCAUCAAAUCCGUUGCUCAAGCGCUUCCCACUUACACGAUGAGUGUGUUUAAGAUGCCGAUGAGUUUCCAUGAUGAUUAUAUGAAACUUAUGAGGCGUUUCUUCUGGGGGGAGGAGCAAGGACAGAGGAGGGUUCAUUGGGCCUCUUGGGAAUGCUUGAUCAAACCAAAAUCUCAGGGAGGAAUCAGUUUCCGCGACACUGUUUGUUUCAACCAGGCUCUCUUAGCGCGACAGGCUUGGAGAUUAAUCCAGUCGCCAGAGAGUUUAUGUGCUCGACUCUUCAAAGCAAGGUACUACCCUAACGGCAAUGUCCUUGAUACAGUGUUUUCUGGUGAAGCAUCUCAAGCGUGGAGGGGAAUCGAAUUUGCUUUGGAGCUUUUGAGGAAAGGAGUAAUCUGGAGGAUUGGGAAUGGUAAUUGUAUCCGUAUUUGGAGGGACAAUUGGAUUCCUACAGAACCGUCCCUAAAAAUUCUUGGCAGUAGGAAACGGUCUAGGAUUCACAGAGUGUGUGAUCUCUUCUUACCUGAGAGAAAGGAAUGGAAUGAGGAGUUGGUGAGACAGGUGUUUUAGCCAAAUGAUGUGGAGGUGAUCUUAAAGAUAAAGAUUCCGAUACAUGAGAUGGAGGAUACUCCAGCAUGGCACUAUGAAACGUCCGGGCAUUUCUCUGUCCGUAGUGCGUACAAGCUUGCAUAUAAUUUGAAGCACUAUAAUAACAACCUAACCGGAAGUAGCGCUGCUCCAAAGGGGGACAGGAAUAUGUGAAAGUUGGUGUGGAAUGCUGAUAUCCCAAACAAGGUCCGGUCCUUUGGUUGGAGGUUGGCCUGUGAUAAUCUUGCUACAAAGCAGAAUAAAUGCAAAAGGAAUCUGGAGAUUGAUAGUACGUGCAAUAUUUGUGGUAUGGCAGACGAGAACAGUUUUCAUGCUGUGGUGGAAUGUACCAAAGCCCAUGCCUUAAGAGAUCAGUUGCGAGGGGUGUGGGAUCUUCCUGGGGAAAGGGUUUUUAUUUACAAUGGGCCUGACUGGCUUCUAAUCCUCCUUGCAAAAAUCAAACCAAGGCAGCGUGAUUUGGUGCUUCUUGUGUUCUGGCGUGCUUGGUUCCUCCGAAAUGAUGUGGUCCACAACCAAGGGAAGAUCUCCAUUUUAGACUCGGUUAGAUUCCUGCAAAACUUUUCUGUUUCUUUUUGGGGUGAAUGCCUCGCUACUGAUGAUAAAGGAAAGAAGCCGGUUGUUGCGCCUUCUCCGCAGAAGUGUCAUAGGUCGGUGUUGACCAAACCUGGUCCAAGCCAUGCUGGUAUGUCUAGUUGGACUAGACCUCCUGUGGGAUGGCUGAAAGUAAACACAGAUGUUGUGUUUGUGGCCAUUUCGGGUGAAUCUAGUGCUGGGUACAUUAUAAGAGACUUCAUGGGCAGACUUGUUAGAGCAGAGGGCGUAAAACUCCAUCCCUGUGCAAGUGCUGAAGAGGCUGAAGUUUGUGCGUGUGUCACUGGGCUGAAGGCUGCUCUUGACUUGGGAAAUGAUAAGAUCAUCAUAGAAUCUGAUUGUGCUGCAGUUAUUUUGAACAUUCUGUCCCCUGCAACCCCUCUUGCAGCUUGGAGAGAGCAUCAUAUUGUGAUUAGGGAUCUUAUUCAAGAUAGUUCAAACAUUGUCUUUCGAAAGAUUGGGAGAGAUGGCAACAAAGUUGCUCAUGAGUUAGCCAGACUAACCCAGAGCAGUGGUAGGGGGCUGUCCAUAUGGGCCAACUACCACUAGUUUUGGCGUUGCUGGUGCAAUCUGAUUGUAAUGACUGUGAUGAUAUUUUAAUAUAAUUGCAAUCUUUCCCCUCAAAAAAAAAAGAAAUAAUGCUACAUGUAACUAAUGAAAUAAAGCUACAUUAAACUACCGAAAUUAAGAUACAAAUGGUUGCAAAAUUUAAAAUACUACCACAAGUAUCUACUGAGUCUAGCGUGGAUAUUUUUCUUUUCCAUCGCCAGCUUCUUCUGCUGCCUUGGCCUCACGAAAUGAUGGCGAGAAAAUAGGCACGAACAAAAAAAAUUAGGUGGGAAAUACGCAUGAUUCAAAACAGUGCUACCAGUGUCGGCAUAGUGUGCCUCGGUGUUCUCGCGUCGGUCGCAGCAACCGAUGAAUACAACUUUAGGCGGGAAUCACGCACUGCUUUUGAUCGGUGUUGUCUGCAUAGAAAGCAGUGGCAAUUAUCAAACAACGGGCAGCAUCAUAGCGGAAUCACUGCCAAAAACGAUUCCCGCCGAGCAGCAUGCGAACCAGACGGAGUGGAGUGGAGAGUGUAUGCAGGGAAGCAAAGAGAGUGCAGAGAAGCACCACAGAGUGUCGGCACGAGACGUCAAAAAUUCACCUACCGCACAGCAUCGGAUUCCCUCCCGUGGAAAUCAGCGUCAUCCGCGUGUGGGAAUCAUCGCCGUCUUCCACACCGAAGUUGUCGCGCCGCGAGCAGCAGCAACAGCACGGAUGCCUCGAGGAGUGGUAGCGUGGCCCACCUCCUCGUCGCGCAUGCAGCAAGUGCUGUUGGCUAGCGCGCAGCAACAGCAGUGUCAUCCGCCUCGUCGAGUGGAGGCAGGGCCCACAUGCCCGGCCCCGUUCCGUCCCGGCACCGGCGCGCUGGAAAUUACGUAAUAGAUGGUCGGCUGCCUCAACGCAUGGCGGCCGGUCCCGCCGCCUCCGAGCAUGGCAGCAGGAGCCACGCGUCGAUCGCCGCGCCUGCCGCCACCGUUGAGGGGGUCUUUUUUGUCAAUUUGAUCUGUAGGUAGUCAUUUUGUCAAUUGUGUUGGCGAGAGGGUCCUUUUCAACAAAAAAUCCCGAAGCAACAACAGAUGCUGUCGGCUGGUAAGCAUCACAAACAAUGCGGCCGCCUCAUGGAGUGGUGGCAUGGCCCACCGCCUCGUCGGGCAUGCAUAUGUCGUGUCGGCAACCGGGCGACAGCAGCAGUACAGGCUGCCUUGUACCGUGGCGGCAGGGCUCACCUGUCCGACCCCGUUACGUCCCAACACGGAAACAUGUUAUACGAUGUUGGUCGCCUCAAUGUGUGGCGGCAGGGCCCGCAAUUUUAUCCAUGGACAUGGAUACCUGCGGAUACCUGACCCGAAUGGGUAGGGUUUGAGUACAUUUUUACGUCCAUGGGCAGAACCCAAACCCGACCCGAUUAAUCAUGGGUAGGGCAUGGAUAUAAUUAUGUAUCCAUGGAUAUACCCGAACCCGACCCGAUAGUAUGACAUGCGUGGCAAAAUUCGAUGAUCCCCACUAUCCCAUCUUUCAAUGUAUUUUUCCUUUAUAAAAAGUAAAAAAGAAACUAUGCGAUCCCUCCCCAGUUCCCAUCGUAACUUUUGUGCCUCUUCUCAUUCUUCUAUAUCCUCGGUAAAUGACUCGCAAUUAAGCGUCAUCUCCAUCACCUCGACUUCCUCCUCCCGCAGACCUAGAUGCCGCUAGACUUUACCUCUCUACAUAUGGUGGUACAUGUGCUUGCUUGACAUUGUGUUAUGCCAUUUUAUGAGAAAUCGAGAUCGAGAAAUGAUGUUGUGUUAUUGCUAUGUCAUUCUACAAGGACAGAGAAUUGUGUACUUAGGUUUAUUUGAUGUUAUGUCAUUAUGAGAAUCGGAGAGCUUUGUUGGUGAUGUUCACUUGUCCUAUGUCAUUUUGUGAGAAUUUAAGAGCUUAUUUGAUGUUAUGCACUUGUGCUUUGUCAUUUUGUGAGAAUUUGAGAGCUUAUGUGAAUGUUGUGCUACUUCUUAUGUAUAUGUGUUGCGACAACCCGAUGGUUAUCCAUACCCGAUGGAUAUUCGUCGGGUUUGGACAUGGACAUAAUUUUUCGCCCAUGGAUUUUUUGUGUGGAUGGGCACAUAAUGUCUUCAUGGAUUUGGGUAUGGAUAUGAUAUUGUUCAACCCGAGCCGAACCCGAUCCAUUGCCAUCCUUAGCGGCAGGUGUCACGUGUCGCCUGUCGCGCUUGCCGCCAUGACCGGGGGUCUCUUUUGUCAAUUUCAUCUAUAGGUAGUCCUUUUUGACAAUUGUGUUGGGCACCUGGUCCUUUUCGACAAAAAAAUCAUUUGAUCGAAAGAUCCAGGUUGGAAAAGGCACAUUUCUUUGACAAGCACAAGUAAUGGAAGGAACCAAAGGUGCAGAUUAGGAGGACAGCGUUACAAGGUAGAAGCACAUGCCAUGGAAAUAUUGCUACUGGUUGUAAAGUCCACAUAUCAGUAUGUGAUGUCGAUGAAUGAUGUUGUAUCUUGUUCCUUUGUACGUCUAAUUUUAUGAUGGUGAAUUGAUGGAUGUUGACUAUUGGACAAGUGAUGCCAUUUAUUUUAGAUUGUUAAUUCCUAAUGAAUAAUGCGAAAUUUUGUCUCGGAUAAAAGUGACUUUACCUUCCAAUUUGGUGAUCAAGGACUCCCUUAUACUUAUGGAACGUAUUAUCACUAUAUUGUCAAAAUAGAUGGGUGCAACAACGCCGCCAUCAUUAAUCUAUAUUUACAUUUCAAAUAAUUAGUAACCGAAUAUUUUAUUAUUAGCUGAUUAAAACUUUAAAUAUAAUAAAAGGGAAGACCAUUUUUAUAUCCAUAUUUACAUUUGAAAUAACUAGCACAUAUGCCCGUGCGUUGCAACAGGGGAAAAUAAUAUGCAUUUAAAGCUAAUUAGAAUUAUAUGUGCAAGUAAAACUCUGUGUGCACGUGAAAAAGAAACAUUUAGCUUCUCGGUUUCGCUAGGUUUGAAGUGACCAAUCUGUGAUUUUUUUUACAUUCAUUGAUCGCAUUUAAGAGUUUUGUUACGUCAACGUACGCCAGAGAAGACCCAUGAAUUAUUCAAUCUAAUUUUCCUUUCAAUUGAGGAGAUUUUAAGGUAUGAAGUUUUUGAAUAUUUUAGAAAACAUGAACCAUAUUUAAAAUCCUAAAGAUGCUCUUGAAAACCAUGUACACUUUCAGAAAAAAUGCGAACAAUAUUUGAAACAGAAACAUCUUUAAAAAUUCACAAACAUUUUUUAAAAACACCAAUAUUUAAAAAUUCAAAAACAUUUUUAGAAAACACCAAAUUUUAUUAUAAAAACAUGGAAAUUAUUUGAAUUUGUGAUUUUUUUUAAAAUAUGAACAUUUGAUGACAAUUCAUAAUAUUUUUCGAAAAUGUGUAUCUUUUAUACGCGAACAUUAUUUUGAAUUGUGAAAAAUUCACUAAACCAAGAUUAUUUUUUGAAUUUGGAAUAUUUUUAAAAUACCAUUUUUCUUUAGAAAUCUCGAACAAUUUUGCAAAACAGUAAUUCUUUUCAAAAAAUAGGAAACAUUUUAGAAAUCUCAAACAAUUUUAUAAAACAGUAAUUUAUUUUUGGAAAAAUGGGAAACUUUUUUCAAGUUCCAAAUAUUUUUUCAAAAUAGCAACAGAAUUUUGGAAUUCUGAACAUUUUCCAAAUUUUGAUUUUUUUUUGCUUUUGUAAUAUCACUCGGUUCGACUCUAAACAUAAUAAUACGAUCAUAACACUUUAAUAAGAUACGAUUAAAACUUUUAGUAUAUUUUGAUUUUAAUAACAUUUUCAUAUCAUCCAAUAAAAAUAGUUUAUUACAACUAAUGAAAUGAGAAUACAUUUUAAUAACAUAUUUUCAUUAGAAAACAGUCGACUUUUUUUAGUAUCAUUUGGUUGGACCUUAAACAUAAUAGUAUGAUGAUAACAUUUAAAUAUCAUAUGACUAAACAAAUAACCGUAUUUUUGCUAGAAAUAUUUGCACCAGCAGUAACAUCAUUCACAAUAGUAAAUCAAUAUAAAAAAUAUAUACAAAAUUACACAGUCUCAUUUAUACCUCAGCUUCAAUUUGGAUGUUGUUCCGAAUAAAAUUAAGCGCCACAAUAGUUCAAAAAAAAUCCGUCAGCAUGAACAUAUCACCAGUAAUAUAUCAAUGGAGAUCAACCUAUUAUCACAUGAACAUAAAUAUUAGACACGGAUUUUUUUUGCUAUCAAAAGCAUCAAAAUGGCACUUUGCAUGUAUGUGAUCAUCACCUCAAAAGGGACAUCAAAGAUCGAAACACAAUUUUUUCAAUCACACCAUCUCCUCAUUGUUUGCUACUCAGAUGAUAUUUUUUACCUAAUUACAUACAUCAUUAAGGAUAUUAGCAUCUAAUCUUAAUAUACAAAACUUAGAUUAUUGCGACAUAAAAAAAUAGACCUACGGUUUCCUGACUAUAAAAAUUAUUAAUAAACAUACCACAUGAAAUAGCAUCACAUUUAAUCAUGCAAUGACCAAUUACAGUACAAACUUUUUCUUAAUUAGCAUAUUAAGAACUUUUCGCAUGUCAAACUACAUUAAUGCAUUUGAAAGGCCUAACGUGAUCUACAAUACUGUCAAAUAUUUGUUGUCCAAGUUUUGGCUCUAACCCAACCUAAACGUUCAACAGAAGUACUAAUUACGACUUAAUGACAAAAGUAACAACAUCUUGCUUGUCAAAAAAAUUACUAGUAAUGGAUACAGCUAACAUUGAUCUACAACAUCUUCAACUUACUCAUGUGAAAAGAAUGGCUAUAAAUGCAACAUACGUUACUCCACAAAAAAAUGCAACAUACGUCAUUUGAAAACUUUUCUAACUUCUAAGCAGUAAACAUCACAUAGAUAAUGAUGGGCUAAAAGACUAACUAAUUUCCACCGUGCAUGCACAAGCAAAUCCAUGUAUCGCAAAGCUUGUACCUUGAUCUUCAACUUCGUAGUUCACUUCGCACGGCAAAUCCUACUCCAUAAGCUUCAAAUGACUCCACAAAGUGAUGAAAUCAUGCCUAAAACAACAGAGAAUACAUACUUAGAAACUAAUCAAACAGAACAAAAACAUCAUGCAUGUGAACGAAACCAACAAAAAUGAAUAGAUCUUACCUUGAUCUAUCUUUUCUUCAACUAAUACUUCUUCUGAAUCGGCCUUCAAAUCGCUCAAAAUCAUGAUCAAAUAAGCUAUUUGAGCUGUUUUUCUCAGUGUGCUAGGGAAAGUAAAGAGCAGAGACGAGAGGAGUGAGCGGGCGGCU